AGAGUUUGAUCCUGGCUCAGGAUGAACGCUGGCGGCGUGCUUAACACAUGCAAGUCGAACGAAGCACUUUGGACAGAUUCUUCGGAUGAAGUCCUUGGUGACUGAGUGGCGGACGGGUGAGUAACGCGUGGGUAACCUGCCUCAUACAGGGGGAUAACAGUUAGAAAUGGCUGCUAAUACCGCAUAAGCGCACGGUACUGCAUGGUACAGUGUGAAAAACUCCGGUGGUAUGAGAUGGACCCGCGUUGGAUUAGCUAGUUGGCAGGGUAACGGCCUACCAAGGCGACGAUCAGUAGCCGACCUGAGAGGGUGACCGGCCACAUUGGGACUGAGACACGGCCCAAACUCCUACGGGAGGCAGCAGUGGGGAAUAUUGCACAAUGGGCGAAAGCCUGAUGCAGCGACGCCGCGUGAAGGAUGAAGUAUUUCGGUAUGUAAACUUCUAUCAGCAGGGAAGAAAAUGACGGUACCUGACUAAGAAGCCCCGGCUAACUACGUGCCAGCAGCCGCGGUAAUACGUAGGGGGCAAGCGUUAUCCGGAUUUACUGGGUGUAAAGGGAGCGUAGACGGCAUGGCAAGUCUGAAGUGAAAGCCCGGGGCUCAACCCCGGGACUGCUUUGGAAACUGUCAGGCUAGAGUGCUGGAGAGGUAAGUGGAAUUCCUAGUGUAGCGGUGAAAUGCGUAGAUAUUAGGAGGAACACCAGUGGCGAAGGCGGCUUGCUGGACAGUAACUGACGUUGAGGCUCGAAAGCGUGGGGAGCAAACAUGAAAGGAUACCCUGGUAGUCCACGCCGUAAACGA
RNAcentral lists this ribosomal RNA (801 nucleotides) under uncultured bacterium. Its description in RNAcentral is "bacterial SSU rRNA". It matches the Rfam family "Bacterial small subunit ribosomal RNA", at positions 8 to 809 of the family's 1533-position model. The record is from RNAcentral.